Molecule: ribosomal RNA, 674 nt
Filed under: uncultured bacterium
Lineage: Bacteria
Description: bacterial SSU rRNA
Rfam family: Bacterial small subunit ribosomal RNA
Source: RNAcentral
AGCGGCGGACGGGUGAGUAACGCGUGGGAAUAUGCCCUUCUCUAAGGAAUAGCCUCUGGAAACGGAGAGUAAUACCUUAUACGCCCUUCGGGGGAAAGAUUUAUCGGAGAAGGAUUAGCCCGCGUUAGAUUAGGUAGUUGGUGGGGUAAUGGCCUACCAAGCCUACGAUCUAUAGCUGGUUUGAGAGGAUGAUCAGCCACACUGGGACUGAGACACGGCCCAGACUCCUACGGGAGGCAGCAGUAGGGAAUCUUAGACAAUGGGGGAAACCCUGAUCUAGCCAUGCCGCGUGUGUGAUGAAGGCCUUAGGGUCGUAAAGCACUUUCGCCAGAGAUGAUAAUGACAGUAUCUGGUAAAGAAACCCCGGCUAACUCCGUGCCAGCAGCCGCGGUAAUACGGAGGGGGUUAGCGUUGUUCGGAAUUACUGGGCGUAAAGCGCACGUAGGCGGACUAGUAAGUUAGAGGUGAAAUCCCAGGGCUCAACCCUGGAACUGCCUUUAAUACUGCUAGUCUUGAGUUCGAGAGAGGUAAGUGGAAUUCCAAGUGUAGAGGUGAAAUUCGUAGAUAUUUGGAGGAACACCAGUGGCGAAGGCGGCUUACUGGCUCGAUACUGACGCUGAGGUGCGAAAGUGUGGGGAGCAAACAGGAUUAGAUACCCUGGUAGUCCACACCGA